RNAcentral lists this ribosomal RNA (292 nucleotides) under uncultured bacterium. RNAcentral's name for it is "partial 16S ribosomal RNA". It matches the Rfam family "Bacterial small subunit ribosomal RNA", at positions 505 to 796 of the family's 1533-position model. The record is from RNAcentral.
GUGCCAGCAGCCGCGGUAAGACAGAGGGUGCAAACGUUGCUCGGAAUCACUGGGCGUAAAGGGCGUGUAGGCGGGAAUGUAAGUCGGGCGUGAAAGCCCCAGGCUCAACCUGGGAACUGCACUCGAAACUGCGUUUCUUGAGUAUCGGAGAGGAAAGCGGAAUACCUGGUGUAGAGGUGAAAUUCGUAGAUAUCAGGUGGAACACCAGUGGCGAAGGCGGCUUUCUGGACGAUUACUGACGCUGAGACGCGAAAGCGUGGGGAGCAAACAGGAUUAGAAACCCCCGUAGUCC